AACAGCACUAAGUUCUCUCUUGCUCCUACCCUGAAAGCCCUGUUAAGUUGAGGGAAAGAAUUAAGUAAAGGUUUAAGCCAAAGUUGUGGGCUGGAUUAAGAAUCCCUGCAGUAGGAACAAUGUGGUUCUGGAAUUUUCAACAUUGGUAGACAAAUAAAUGAACAGACUGUGGAGGAGUCCCUACUAUUAAAUCUACACUGUGGGAUUACUGAUGUGUUAAACAGGUGGAGAACACCUUCUAACAGCCCUGGACAUACCACCCAUUCGGAAAUAUGGUUUGUUAGUUAAAGACACUGGUUACUCUAACAGGCCGGAUCCCACAGCCUGAAGAAAUCAGAUCAUGGCCUCUACAGUUUUUUCCCAGGAUAAAAUUAAGCAGUCUUCCUGUGCUGCUGUUUUUACAGCUCCUACAGUCCCUACCCAGUACCUAACUCCUCCACACUCUAGCAGGUAGGCUAUACUAACACGCUUUGGUGUGGAACUUCUAGCAAUCCACUGAAAGGACAUGAAAGUCGGAUAUUCAUGAUGACUACCUCUGUUACUCUUAUUUUAAGCUAUCCUUUGUAAUAAAGCCCUCUCCAGGUUU
Peromyscus eremicus (cactus mouse) is the source of this 586-nucleotide long non-coding RNA. RefSeq lists it as uncharacterized. The record is from RefSeq and is a predicted model, not a curated record. NCBI's taxonomy places the organism in Eukaryota, Metazoa, Chordata, Mammalia, Rodentia, Cricetidae. The transcript has 3 exons.